UGUGCACCAGUGGGGUCCCUUGGCCUGGCCUGCGGGAUCAGGCCAAAAAUGGCUCUCUGACAUCUUCCAAGGGGUCUCAGAUUGCAAGAGGGUGCAGGCCAGGCUGAGGGACCCCACUGGUGCACG
This 126-nucleotide microRNA precursor is filed under the name Myotis brandtii (Brandt's bat). RNAcentral's name for it is "mir-9193 microRNA precursor family". Lineage: Eukaryota; Metazoa; Chordata; Mammalia; Chiroptera; Vespertilionidae. The record is from Rfam by way of RNAcentral.